Molecule: long non-coding RNA, 1534 nt
Organism: Cynoglossus semilaevis (tongue sole)
Lineage: Eukaryota; Metazoa; Chordata; Actinopteri; Pleuronectiformes; Cynoglossidae
Exons: 3
Source: RefSeq, a predicted model, not a curated record
GGAGAGGAGAAACAACACAGUUCAAGUUAGACCGGACUAACAGAGUCUGAGACUGAGCUGAUCCACAUUAAGGCUGCAGUACUGGACUGUAGAACCACAACAUCCUACUCUGUUUAUUUUACGGAAGUCUGGCCUCCAGUGCAGUGCAUUUGAUUUUGGGAACAUUGCCCCCUCCUGACAAAAGGGAGUGCCUGCAUAUAUUAAAACAAUCCCGUGGGCUGAGGAUGACAAGACAAGUAACCGUGUAGCUGUAGUCAGAGUGUGAUCCUAGUCUGAGACUCUGUUCCAUCUGAACACCAGGUUACUAACACUGGAACAGAGGGAUCAUUAUACAAUAUUGUGAAAAUGUUUUGGGUUUUUUUUUACGAUUUACCACAAGGUCAACGUCAUUGUAAAAUAUUUCCAGCUGAUCUUUAUUAUUGUUCAAACUCAUACAUUGACAAAACUCCUAUAUUUAUCAGGGCUUUAAUUAUUUAUUAAUGUUUUAUUUAUUGUGUACAGAUUUCAAUUAGUGCAGACUGAUACACUCAAUUAUUUAUCAUAGAUGUUUGAAGUGUAGUCUACAUUUUUCCAGUAACUUUUAGUUGGCAUCGAUCCAUUUUUCCACAGCUGUGAAUACGUUGUCUUUAAUGAAAUGAAUGAUCUGUGUGGUUUGACUGUUUCAUUAUCUACGUUAGUCAACAUGGAGACGAGGUGCACCACUGUUCAGGAGGCCUGGUUCUGACCCAGACAUGUUCAACAGAGCACGAAUAAUGGAUGUGGCAAUGACAUAACAAAACGAUGAUACGCAGAUAUUUUAUAGUGACUUUUAUUUUAUUUUGCAUCUGAUAAAAACAUUAAAUGUUGGAAAUAUAUAGGGCACCGACGGGGGGGGGGGUGUCAUUGUUGAUGUCUCACCUUCGUAUUUACGUUUACUUUUAUGUAGAAACUAAUCUGUUGUUGUUGGGUUUUGCUGCAGGGUUUCAGUGUAUGAAGCCGGAGGAUUAGCAGAGAAACGAUGACGUGCUCAUCUGCAGAGGACUAACAACAAAGUUUGAUUUAUAAGGACUUAUCCUUGGUAACAACACACAGGUAAAUCCAUGAAAUGUAAAAUGGAGGAUAGCCUGAUGUUAGCGGCCGAUACUUGUGACAGACAGCACUCAGACGCUGACUCAUGGAAUUCAUCACAGAGGAUCGGAACAGCCCUGCCGUCUGCUGAAAACCUGUCAGUCAAGGAUACAGCUGUGAGGAAGACGAGGACGAAGACAAAGGAAAUGAAGAAGGUUUGGUUAAACAGUGGGAAAGCACAAAAUGUUUUCUAUAGAAGAGAGAUAAAGAAACAGUGGACAACAAACCUACACAAGUGUAGAUUUAUUUGUGGAAACGAGACGGAGAGAAAGUCAAAAAGAGAGAAAUCAUAAAAAGAAAAGUGCAAGAAAGAAGAAGAAGAAUUCAGAUCAGAGCUGACCUGUAAAAUCAAGGUGGAAAAGUUCCACCGAUUCCUGAACUUGUUUCUUUUCUUCAAUGGUAAAAAACAGAAUUAUUGAAUCAUUUG